GCCUCUUCUAUGUGUGGAUCAUCUCUCUUCCUUUCAGGGCUUCCAUCAAGGCUGCUAUCUUGGUCCUCAGGCUCUCUGGGAGGAUUCCUUACUUCCUGUGCAAGAGUUCCCAGGCCCUUCCAGCUUCCCUGA
Molecule: long non-coding RNA, 132 nt
Filed under: Fukomys damarensis (Damara mole-rat)
Lineage: Eukaryota; Metazoa; Chordata; Mammalia; Rodentia; Bathyergidae
Description: lncRNA (ENSFDAG00000027964.1)
Source: RNAcentral